This is a non-coding RNA of Pimephales promelas (fathead minnow), 501 nucleotides long. The record is from RefSeq and is a predicted model, not a curated record. Lineage: Eukaryota; Metazoa; Chordata; Actinopteri; Cypriniformes; Leuciscidae.
ACCGAACAUCGAAAUCUUGAUGUUGCCGGACGCUGUCCUGUCUGAAAUUCUACUCCACGUGGUCCUUGAGGAGGGGGAUGGAUAGAAGUCUGGUGGAUACAGACUCAUUUAGGAGGAGGGCACACUUCUGCUGGCUUGACAGUGUAACAAAUUGGAGAAGGAAGACUUAUCAAGACUAUUAUCAGAUGUACACACUGCAGCCCUGCAGACACUGCAAUGACGUUUACAAGAACUGCUUACCAGGUGUAUCAAUUAUGAAAAAUGUGCUUAAUGACAACAUGGAAUUAAUAGUCAUUCAUGUGGCUGCAUCCAUGUGUCCUGUUAUUAAGGUAAUUUGGAUAUUAAUGUCACAAUUUUCUUAUGAAUCCUCUAGGUUAUGUUGGAAGAGGAAAACGAGGAGAAAUCCAAGGCUUUUACUCGGAAAACACCCAUCCAGGGUUUUGCAGUGAUUGGUGUCAGCUGCUGGAGAGUGAAAAUUCAUUCACUCUUCCAGGUCCAGUC